UUUUUUUUUUUUUUUUAGAUUUAUUUAUUUGAAAGAAUGAGGAAGAGGCAGAAGGAGGGAAUCUUCAAGCAGAUUCCCUACUCAACAAAAAGCCUGACAUGGGGCUUGAUCCAUGAGAUCAUAACCCUGAGCUUGAAACUAAGAGUUGUAUGCUCAACUGACUAAGCUACCCAGACACCCCCAGCCUUAGGAUUUUGGAUAAGCUUUCUGAGGGUAUGACUGCUGUAUACAUUUGUGCAGGUUGGAUUCUGCACAAGGAGACCACAUUGAAGCUGUGCCAUUCACAUAGAAAACACACACAGUUUUUCAACAAGUAGCAGCAAAAGUGCUUUGUUUCUUUGUUCUAACAAAAGUAGUAUAAGAAUUUUCCAACAGGUGGGAGAAAAGCAUCUUAAAGAAGGGAUGCAUUUUUCUAAUCAGUCCAAAGGUAAAUGAGCAUAGACAAGAGAUAGCCCUGCCACAGGCCCUUAGAGCUGAAGUUAGAUCUCAUAGAGUCCUUUGGCUCAGAUACUCACAGAUCCACAGAUAGACACUUUUGUCAUUAUCACAUGACAUUUACUCUCAUGCACAUGGAAGAAAUGGCCUUUAUCCUGUUCCCCAGGUGAUUACACAGGAUUGCUAGGUACAUCCGAAAGAGUUCAGGUUAGUCUCUCUCCUCAUCCUGGAUCCUCUAGAAAUUCUAAGAAAAAGAGCCAGGAAUUUAGAAGCAGGAUUUUGGGGAAGAACUUGGGGCUUAGAAUUCUGACUGUGUUUCUGGGCAAUUGCAGUUCCAAAUUCAACUGCUGCUUUCCCCAUGGAUCCUCUUCCCCUCAAGAGGUUGCUGUGGGGCACCUGGGUGGCUCAGUGGUUCAGUGUCUGCCUUUGGCUCAGGGUGUGAUCCUCAGGUCUGGGAUUGAGUCCUGCAUCAGGCUCCCCCUGGGGAGCCUGCUUCUCCCUCUGCCUGUGUCUCUGCCUCUCUCUGUGUGUCUCUCAUGAAUAAAUAAAUGAAAUCUUUUUUAAAAAUGACGUUUCUAUGAAUACCUGGUCUCUAUCCUGCUGCAGUGACUCAGAUAAGAGUGAUGAUCAGAUUGAGUGAGUGAGAGGAGCAUUUGCGGGGGAGAGCUGCAUACACCUGGGCAGGGUCUCAGGGCAUCAUGCACCACAUUCUCUUUGUUUCCCACUUCCAGUUCCACUUUACCUUUUUAGCCGGCCAUCUGGCCUGGUUGUCUUCAGUCAGUGGGAAGUCAGAACCUGGGAGUUUGGAGAGAGAGAGAAGAGUGAGUUGGAGUAUCCAGUCCUCCAGUUCUCUCUCUAUAGGCUGGCUGCACUUCUCAACAAAAAGUUACAGUUCCUGCCAAGGACAUUUUGCACACAGUACUCUGUUCCAGCUCCAGGGAAUCCCCCUCCUGUUACCCCUUCAGGCCCAGAAGUAGUAAUGACACCUUCCUGUCACUCCCAGCAUAGUGCCUUCUCCCCUGUGGUUUCCUUACACCCAGCCUACACCACUGUGUAAGUAGUCUGUUUAUCAAUUGCCUGCCUCAAACUCGAAUGUGCCAUCUGGUUCCUACCAGGUCCCAACUUUAUAAAAGCAGGGAGGGCUUGAAACCAGAAAUCUAGGAAACCAAACUCCAUCCCAUAUAUGUGUGAGUGCAUGUGUGUCCAUGUGUGCAUGUAAAUCAACCUGACCCAUUGCUGGCUCUUCAGGGAGAACAGAUUUUGGAAGAGGAGAACCUGGUGUGCUUGUGUCUUUGCAUGAGCACCUAGUAUAUCAGAGCAGAUUCUAUUUAUGUGUUUGUUAAUCUCAAGAAACUCUGAGUGCUUGAUAAAUGGCAGGAUCUUUACCAGGUACAGCAGAUAAAGGACUAAGGCUUGGUUUUGUCUUCAGGAUUUAUAGGUUUUUUUGGGACAGGGUUAGAGAGAAAUGUUACUUGGUAGGUUUUAUAAAACUAUGUGAUUGACACCGUACUACGAGAUUUAGCAAAUCUUUGUUGGAGCCCAGAAUAAGGGUGAUUGAAGCUUUCUAAUAAAGGCAGUGAAGGAGGGGUGGAAGAGUGAAAAUUUGCAAAAAGUCAAUUCAUAUUCUAUUAACCUGAUUCUGUCACCCUGUAAGC
Molecule: long non-coding RNA, 2090 nt
Filed under: Canis lupus familiaris (dog)
Lineage: Eukaryota; Metazoa; Chordata; Mammalia; Carnivora; Canidae
Description: lncRNA (ENSCAFG00000055676.1)
Source: RNAcentral